RNAcentral lists this ribosomal RNA (601 nucleotides) under uncultured bacterium. Its description in RNAcentral is "bacterial SSU rRNA". It matches the Rfam family "Bacterial small subunit ribosomal RNA", at positions 185 to 804 of the family's 1533-position model. The record is from RNAcentral.
AUCGCAUGAUCCGGUGUGAAAAACUCCGGUGGUAUGAGAUGGACCCGCGUCUGACUAGCCAGUUGGCAGGGUAACGGCCUACCAAAGCGACGAUCAGUAGCCGACCUGAGAGGGUGACCGGCCACAUUGGGACUGAGACACGGCCCAAACUCCUACGGGAGGCAGCAGUGGGGAAUAUUGCACAAUGGGGGAAACCCUGAUGCAGCGACGCCGCGUGAGCGAAGAAGUAUUUCGGUAUGUAAAGCUCUAUCAGCAGGGAAGAAGAAUGACGGUACCUGACUAAGAAGCACCGGCUAAAUACGUGCCAGCAGCCGCGGUAAUACGUAUGGUGCAAGCGUUAUCCGGAUUUACUGGGUGUAAAGGGAGCGCAGGCGGUGCGGCAAGUCUGAUGUGAAAGCCCGGGGCUUAACCCCGGUACUGCAUUGGAAACUGUCGUACUAGAGUGUCGGAGGGGUAAGUGGAAUUCCUAGUGUAGCGGUGAAAUGCGUAGAUAUUAGGAGGAACACCAGUGGCGAAGGCGGCUUACUGGGCGAUAACUGACGCUGAGGCUCGAAAGCGUGGGGAGCAAACAGGAUUAGAUACCCUGGUAGUCCACGCCGUA